RNAcentral lists this ribosomal RNA (1244 nucleotides) under metagenome. Its description in RNAcentral is "bacterial LSU rRNA". It matches the Rfam family "Bacterial large subunit ribosomal RNA", at positions 1564 to 2816 of the family's 2925-position model. The record is from RNAcentral.
UGAGUACGAGAUGCUACGGCAUCGAAGCAGUCUAUGUCAUACUUCCAAGAAAAGCUUGCAAUGUCAUAAACAAAUAAUGCCUGUACCAUAACCGACACAGGUGGGUAGGUAGAGUAUACUAAGGGGCGCGAGAUAACUCUCUCUAAGGAACUCGGCAAAAUGACUCCGUAACUUCGGGAGAAGGAGUGCCUUAUUUUUAUAAGGUUGCAAUAACAAGAUCCAAGCAACUGUUUACCAAAAACACAGGUCUCCGCUAAGUCGUAAGACGAUGUAUGGGGGCUGACGCCUGCCCAGUGCCAGAAGGUUAAAGAAGUUGGUUAGCAUUAGCGAAGCUGAUAACUGAAGCCCUGGUGAACGGCGGCCGUAACAAUAACGGUCCUAAGGUAGCGAAAUUCCUUGUCGGGUAAGUUCCGACCCGCACGAAAGGCGUAAUGAUUUGGAUACUGUCUCGGAGAGGGGCUCGGUGAAAUAGACUUGUCUGUGAAGAUGCGGACUACCUGCACCUGGACAGAAAGACCCUAUGAAGCUUUACUGUAACUUGAGAUUGAAAUUGGACUUUAUCUGCGCAGUAUAGGUGGGAGACGUUGAAAAUAUUCUUGCGGGAAUAUUGGAGUCAUCAGUGAGAUACCACUCUUAUAAUGUUAGAUUUCUAACUUUGUAUCAUUAUCUGGUCAAAGAACAGUUUCAGGCGGGCAGUUUGACUGGGGCGGUCGCCUCCCAAACGGUAACGGAGGCGCACAAAGGUUUCCUCUGAACGUGUAGAAAUCGUAUCUAGAGUGUAAAGGCAUAAGGAAGCUUGACUGUGAGACCUACAAGUCGAGCAGGGACGAAAGUCGGUCUUAGUGAUCUGACGGUGCUGAGUGGAAAGGCCGUCACUCAACGGAUAAAAGUUACUCUAGGAUAACAGGCUGAUCUCCCCCAAGAGUUCACAUCGACGGGGAGGUUUGGCACCUCGAUGUCGGCUCAUCGCAUCCUGGGGCGGUGGUACGUCCCAAGGGUUGGGCUGUUCGCCCAUGAAAGCGGUACGCGAGCUGGGUUCAGAACGUCGUGAGACAGUUCGGUCCAUAUCCGGUGUAGGCGUUAGAAUAUUGAGAGGAGCCUUCUUUAGUACGAGAGGACCGAGAAGGACAUACCUCUGGUGUACCAGUUAUCGUGCCAACGGUAAACGCUGGGUAGCCAUGUAUGGAGAGGAUAACCGCUGAAAGCAUCUAAGUGGGAAGCCCACCUCAAGAUAAGUAUUCUCA